UUUACAAAAUUGAAUGUGACAUUUUGAAAAGAACUUUUAGUGACUUCCGGCCAAGAUGAAGGCGUAGUUAGAAACCCUUUGCUUCCUCACACAACCAAAAGGCAGAUAACAACCAAUCUAAAAUCAAUAAAAAACCAGAAGUGCCAGUAAAUCCAACUGCAUGGAACUCCUACAACCACAGAAUUAAAGAAA
This is a long non-coding RNA of Phyllostomus discolor (pale spear-nosed bat), 192 nucleotides long. RefSeq lists it as uncharacterized. The transcript is spliced from 2 exons. The record is from RefSeq and is a predicted model, not a curated record. Lineage: Eukaryota; Metazoa; Chordata; Mammalia; Chiroptera; Phyllostomidae.